UGUGUGAGUGUGUGUGAGUGUGUGUUUCCCUCUCCCGUGCACAGGCUGUCACUCACACACACACACACACACGUUGUCUGGUUGACGGCAGUGAGCAUGUUCACAUCCGGUGGCACUCCGCAUCCUUCUCUCGCUCUCUUCCUGCACACACUCACAUCUUCCUCUCAUUAGCUCGUCCCCCCCCCCCCCUCCGCAUCCAGCUGGCAGCCUCACAAUUGCUGAUUUCUGGCAGCGACACACCCCUGAAUGUACAGACGUGUGCAUAUUCAGUGUUAUGUGCUGCUAAUUCAUGCGUGCAUCGUCGUCACAUGGCCGCUGAGAAGUGCGGCGAAUUAGCAUGCAUGCUUUUAUUAUUUAAACCCAUAGUACAUAGUAUAUAUAUAUAUGUAUAUAUAUAUAUGUAUAUAUAUGUAUAUAUAUAUAUAUAUACAUAUUUACAUAUAUAUAUAUACAUAUAUUAUAUAUAUACAUAUAUAUAAAACAGGUGUGUUUGUGGGCUGUGAGCCUGCAGUCCUUCGCACAGGAUGUUCUCCACUCACAGCUGUGAACACGUAGAUAUCAAAUCAUGUCUGAUCCACGCGACCGUGAGCACUAGCACGCUAACGCACUAGCCGCUAACGCAUUAGCACGUUAACGCACUAGCCGCUAACUCACUAGCAGGCUAACGCACUAGCCGGCUAAUGCACUAGCAGGCUAACGCACUAGCCGGCUAAUGCACUGGCAGGCUAACGCAAUAGCACGCUAACGCACUAGCAGGCUAAUGCACUAGCACACUAACGCACUAGCCACUAACUCACUAGCAGGCUAACUCACUAGCACGCUAACGCACUAGCAGGCUAACGCACUAGCACGUUAACGCACUAGCAGGCUAACUCACUAGCAGGUUAACUCACUAGCAGUCUAACGCACUAGGAUGUUAACGCACUAGCAGUUUAACGCACUGGCAGACUAAGCAAUAGCACGCUAACGCACUAGCAGGCUAAUGCACUAUCCGCUAACUCACUAGCACGUUAACGCAAUAGCAGGCUAACGCACUAGCACGUUUACGCAGUAGCACGUUAACGCACUAGCAGGUUAACUCACUAGCAGGUUAACUCACUAGCAGGCUAACUCACUAGCACGUUUACGCACUAGCACGUUAACGCACUAGCAGGCUAACUCACUAGCAGGCUAACUCACUAGCAGGCUAACGCACUAGCCCUGCGAAAACUAACAACGUGUUUUUGCAUUCGUCACAAGACAACGUCACAAAAUAUACCUGUACAAUUGUGUAACACAGAGGAAAGACAGCAGUGAAAAGGAGACCCGGCCGAGGACAGGAAGAGGACAGGAAGAGGACAGGAAGAGGAAGUUGAACUCCUGAGCUCCCGGCAGGUCAGAGGUCGGCCAGGUGCUCCGCCUACCUGCGGAGCGGCGACCAGGUCCCAGCGCAGACGCCUCGGAGCCCAGAGGUCACGCAGGGCCGACGCACCGAACAUGCCGGCCAUCCUCAGUCGCCGUUUGACGACGUCAGCGCACGUCUCCGUGUCACAGGGUUUCUGAAGGCGCCGCACGCGUGUCCCGCUCCACAGUCCUCGCUUCCUCCCACACGAGCCAAGCCGGCUUCAGGCCGUCAGCUUCGUUCACAACUGUCAGUCAGCGUCUGCUGUCCUUUACAACUUCCUGUCAGCGGUCGACCAAUGAGGACGAUAAUGGGGAAAAAAACCUCACAGCUACAAAUAAAAAGGUUUUUCAUGCAUCAAUUAAACACGCUGCGUCAUCAAGACUCCUGAGUAUUCGUAAAUGUCCUAAACACGCUGCACUUUAAUAUAUAUAGUCUGAGGGUAUUCAUAAAACCAUUUAAAGUCCUGGAUCGCUUAUGAAGGGACAGGAAACACGCAACACCAUGUCAAAAUAAGAGCGUUUGCUUUAGAAGUUGCUUUUUCCUCCUUCUUGUUCCUCAUCAAGCGAACAUUUGGUCCUGGAUGCUUUUGUCACUAUUUUCUACUUCAUAACCAAACUCGAGGACUUCGGCAAUCGGCCGAUUAAUCAACAACAAAUGUUGUGACGAAGGAGAGGUUUUAAAGUCUCAGUUCAAAGUAAAGCUUUAAAUUUGAACUCUUAAUGUUUUCUUAACUUCUAAUGAAGGUCUCAUAUCGUGAAGACGUUUCAAUAACACCUCUGGCAGGAAGAGAAUAUUCAGCGAGAGCAGAUUCCCUGGUUACACCUUCAGAGGAGGCUUAUUUUUACUGCAACAGAGCAAACGUUUUGGUAUGAAACUGUAAAUCACUUCUUUAGUUUCCCAGAGAACAGAAACCUACAACUUAAUGACUGUGGAGAGUAUUGUAAGAAGUAAUGAUUUAAAAGAUGUCAUGACUUGAAUUUACAGAUUUAAGUUGUAGAAAUGCUUUUAAUUUCUACAACUUAUAUGUAUUUUAUAAAGUAAUGUGUAACAUUUUGAUUCAUGUUUUGUUGUAAUCAGAUUUUAACCACAGUUUAUAUAUUACAAUAUAAAUUACAUUACAUGUCAUCUAUCUGACGCUUUUAUCCAAAGCGACCAUCAAUAAGAACAUUUCAACCAUAAGGACACAAACUCAGAAGAGCAAGAAACAAGGAAGUGUGAUUUCCUCAAAUAAGCCGAUGUACAACUCGCUGUAGAUAAGAACCGUUAUAAGUCCAAUGUAAGUGCUGCAGUUAGUUAGUGUGUUAGUGGAGGUAGAGUCUGAAGAGGUGUGUCUUUAGUCUGAAGAUGUGAAGCUCUCUGUGGUCCUGAUGUCUUCAGAAAUAUCACUUAUUAACAUCCUGAUGAUUGAAAACCGUCUCUGCAGGUUGAGUUUGGCAUUUUUCAUUUUGGGUAAAACAGGUAGAAUAAUCCUCUAGUUGGAAAAGGAGAAAAUAGUUGAAGCUGAAAUUAUUAGAUUUGAAGAAUAUAUAAUAAAUAUAUAUUUUUUUUUGUGGAAAUUUUUUGAAAUAUAUAUAUUUUUUUUCAAAAUGCCAGAGACGUAAUGGUUCAAGCUUCUGAUUUCCUGACUUUCUUUCUUAAUAAUAUUAACUAGAUAUAUUCAACUGUUGCUGUUGGUUAUCAUACCCUGAUGUAGGUUAGGGCAUGUAAACCAGCAGAUACUAAUUUAAAGAAAUUCCUGCAUUAAAAUGUUGCAUCAUGACAGUUUGGAUGACUUGAAACGGUCACUUAUUAUCACGCCAGCAUUUAAUUAUCACGCAAAACAAUUACGCUGCACUGAACUGUAAGUAAAGUACAAAAAGUUAAAAUACGAAACCUGUAAGUAUUACUAGUGAACAAAUAUCAUUCACGUCUUACUGAACCUAGUCACGCGGAAGUGAACGAGGUAAACGAACCCUACAAGUCACGUGAAAAAGGGUCCAAAGACUCGUACAAAGACCCAGUCGAGCCACGAGACGAUGAAUGAAUGUCUCUGUGAGAGGACUCGUUAGUCCCGAGUCCUUGAUCCAUUCACUACGAACCACACAUCACUACUGGAGGACGCUUUGCUGGAGUCGGUUGGAGUUGGAAUCAGAAUAAAAUGAGAAUAUGAGGCGGUGCUGUAAGUGGUCCGUUUGCACUCGACCCUCCUCUCUUUGACACGUGGAGGAAUUCUGCUGCACAGUUCUGUUCACUUCCAAUGCAGAAAGUUCAGCUCCAUCAGGCUUCAACAACGUUACGUUACAGUAACUACAUCAACAUAUUUUGUUGCAUUAAUCUUGGCCAAAUGAAUCGCACAUAUUAACGCAUUUAAGCAUUACAGCCCUGAUAUAUAUAUAUAUAUAUAUAUAAUACUUAUUGUAAAUUUAACAUGAUUUUAUUGCUGUAUUUUCCUUAAUUUGGUGAUAUCAAUAUUUUUCCUAAAUGAUUACAAUACAAACAAAAGAAGUUACAUUUUAAAUACUCAUCACUCUUUUAAAAUUUGACCGCCAAACACUUAAAAAAAAGUCAUAGUUUAUAAUUAACGUCCACAAACCGAUUGAUGAACAUUUCUGACCUUUUGUGUCCUGACUGCUGAUUGGACAGCGACCUGACGAGGUCAAACGCGGGAAAAAAAACAAAAAAGGUUCACGAAUCAUUUCUUUAGAAUCAUAGGAGUUUUUAAUCUGAAUCUUCAUCAUUCACCACCUUCAUCAUCCUCAUUGUCAACCAUGCUCACAGACGCUGUCAUGACAUCAUCGGUUGUUAAUCAUCGCAGAGAAACAUCAUCAUCAUCAUCAGAUACAUUCUCAUCGUUUCAGUGGAUAAUAGAUCAAUCUUUUGUAUUUUAUACCUUAUAAUAUAUUCUUCAUCAUCCAAGGUCAUUUAUUUAUUUUUUUAUACUUUACAUAAGAAUAAAAUGAACAGACUGAGGAAUGACUAUCUGUAUAUUUACAUCAUGAGACACAGAGAAGGAGCGAUAAUCAGGAAUAAAACAGGAAGUAAAGAAAACAGCGAUCAAAGAAGAAGAAGAAGAAGAAGAGGAAGACAAAGGAGCAGCACGGGUGGGGAAGGAGUGUGUGUGUGUGUGUGUGUGUGUGUGUGAGGCGGAAUGCAGCGGCCCUCUGUUCUGUCACAAUGACCGUUGCCACGGUAACCACUGACAGGGCACUAACGCCCUGACAAACAAAAGGAAAGUGUCCUUUCAAAAUAAACUUCUCACAUUAAGCAACAGUAACAGUUGAGGAAAACGUGUUUUCUGGGCCUGACGCUCGUGACGUAAAUGCGGCGUAAGUUACGGAUGUAAGUUCGUAACGAAACUCUGUUAAAUGAGGUAAUGCGUUGACGUAGUCUCACGUGAGACAUGAGCAGACGUCCCUGUGAGGAAGCUUUACUACGUCAGGUGUAGCUCACGCGGAGAGAAGUGCUUUUCAUAUUUAUGUGAUGUCACAUCUAUGAUUCAUGAAAGUCUUUAAGUGUCUCCUGAAUUCGACGUAUUGGGAUGAUCAAGAGGGACGAGUCAGUGUCCUGAUGCAGCUUUAAUGACGUGUGAGUCUCUGUCUAUCAGAAGGAAAGUAAACACAUAAUCAUUUAUAUAUAUAUAU
Long non-coding RNA from Gasterosteus aculeatus aculeatus (three-spined stickleback), 5004 nucleotides. The record is from Ensembl. Lineage: Eukaryota; Metazoa; Chordata; Actinopteri; Perciformes; Gasterosteidae.